This 339-nucleotide ribosomal RNA is filed under the name Triticum aestivum (bread wheat). RNAcentral's name for it is "partial small subunit ribosomal RNA". Lineage: Eukaryota; Viridiplantae; Streptophyta; Magnoliopsida; Poales; Poaceae. The record is from RNAcentral.
AUGACAGAAUCUCAAAACAUGGAAGUAUUAUCUCUAAACAAACACUGUAAUAACAUCAAACUCAAAGCAAAAAUCCUCCUCCUCCCUCGCUCCCGUGCGGCUGCACCGGGGCGCCCAAACUCCGGCCGCCUAGGGGCCCUCGUUCUCCUCCUCUCCCCUCACCGCCGCCGAAGGGCAUCGCCGGGCAAAGCCCGAGCGGCGUCGGCGGCGGUGGGGCUGUAUGGUGGCGUGGUUCGAGCGGAUCUUGAGGUCCUGUCUGACUUCAAUGGUGGUGUGCGGCGGCGGGAGUGGGGCUCAGCGAAGAAGUGGGGUGGCGGCCGUGGCUCGCGGAGGUGCUGA